This 263-nucleotide ribosomal RNA is filed under the name uncultured bacterium. RNAcentral's name for it is "partial 16S ribosomal RNA". It matches the Rfam family "Bacterial small subunit ribosomal RNA", at positions 15 to 272 of the family's 1533-position model. The record is from RNAcentral.
GAUCAUGGCUCAGGAUGAACGCUAGCUACAGGCUUAACACAUGCAAGUCGAGGGGCAGCAGGACCUAGCAAUAGGUUGAUGGCGACCGGCGCACGGGUGAGUAACACGUAUCCAACCUACCGGUUAUUCCGGGAUAGCCUUUCGAAAGAAAGAUUAAUACCGGAUAGUAUAACGAGAAGGCAUCUUCUUGUUAUUAAAGAAUUUCGAUAACCGAUGGGGAGUGCGUUCCAUUAGUUUGUUGGCGGGGUAACGGGCCCACCAAG